Long non-coding RNA from Lemur catta (Ring-tailed lemur), 398 nucleotides. RefSeq lists it as uncharacterized. Lineage: Eukaryota; Metazoa; Chordata; Mammalia; Primates; Lemuridae. The record is from RefSeq and is a predicted model, not a curated record. The transcript is spliced from 5 exons.
UUGAUGAAGAUCUUGGGUGUGACCUUUGUGGGAAAUGAGCCAUGAACCAAUAUUCAAUAUACCAAAUCGGAUUUAUUCAUCACCCAGUGACAGAGAUCUUGGCCGUCUCUUCUGCGGACAAGGAGCUGAGGGACGCAGUCUGUAUUUUACUUCACCAAAUGCAUAUACCACAGAUGACUUAACAAUUCUCUAAUGCUACAGAUCUUGGCUUUUACCUCUGUGGGUAAGGAGAGAAGAGAUGAAGAAAAGAAACCUAGACUCAUACCACUUUGAACAAAGCACAUGUCAGCAGUUGCAUGAAAUGGUAUUUCAGUUCUGGAUUGCUGAAUGAAAACCACGUAGCUGAUUUUAUUCUCCUCUAAUCAUGAAGCCCAUAACUGUUACUUCUGGACUAAGGC